CAGUGCUGCAGCUAACGCAUUAAGCACUCCGCCUGGGGAGUACGACCGCAAGGUUGAAACUCAAAGGAAUUGACGGGGGCCCGCACAAGCGGUGGAGCAUGUGGUUUAAUUCGAUGCUACGCGAAGAACCUUACCAGGUCUUGACAUCUUCUGCCAACCUAAGAGAUUAGGCGUUCCCUUCGGGGACAGAAUGACAGGUGGUGCAUGGUUGUCGUCAGCUCGUGUCGUGAGAUGUUGGGUUAAGUCCCGCAACGAGCGCAACCCUUAUUGUUAGUUGCCAGCAUUUAGUUGGGCACUCUAGCAAGACUGCCGGUGACAAACCGGAGGAAGGUGGGGAUGACGUCAAAUCAUCAUGCCCCUUAUGACCUGGGCUACACACGUGCUACAAUGGACGGUACAACGAGUCGCGAAACCGCGAGGUCAAGCUAAUCUCUUAAAGCCGUUCUCAGUUCGGAUUGUAGGCUGCAACUCGCCUACAUGAAGUUGGAAUCGCUAGUAAUCGUGGAUCAGCAUGCCACGGUGAAUACGUUCCCGGGCCUUGUACACACCGCCCGUCACACCAUGAGAGUUUGUAACACCCAAAGCCGGUGAGGUAACCUUCGGGAACCAACCGUCUAAGGUGGGACAGAUGAUUAGGGUGAAGUCGUAACAAGGUAACC
Molecule: ribosomal RNA, 659 nt
Filed under: uncultured Lactobacillus sp.
Lineage: Bacteria; Bacillati; Bacillota; Bacilli; Lactobacillales; Lactobacillaceae
Description: bacterial SSU rRNA
Rfam family: Bacterial small subunit ribosomal RNA
Source: RNAcentral